ACUGAACGCUGGCGGCAGGCCUAACACAUGCAAGUCGAGCGGAUGAAGGGAGCUUGCUCCUGGAUUCAGCGGCGGACGGGUGAGUAAUGCCUAGGAAUCUGCCUGGUAGCGGGGGAUAACGUCCGGAAACGGGCGCUAAUACCGCAUACGUCCUGAGGGAGAAAGUGGGGGAUCUUCGGACCUCACGCUAUCAGAUGAGCCUAGGUCGGAUUAGCUAGUUGGUGGGGUAAAGGCCUACCAAGGCGACGAUCCGUAACUGGUCUGAGAGGAUGAUCAGUCACACUGGAACUGAGACACGGUCCAGACUCCUACGGGAGGCAGCAGUGGGGAAUAUUGGACAAUGGGCGAAAGCCUGAUCCAGCCAUGCCGCGUGUGUGAAGAAGGUCUUCGGAUUGUAAAGCACUUUAAGUUGGGAGGAAGGGCAGUAAGUUAAUACCUUGCUGUUUUGACGUUACCAACAGAAUAAGCACCGGCUAACUUCGUG
RNAcentral lists this ribosomal RNA (484 nucleotides) under uncultured bacterium. RNAcentral describes it as "partial 16S ribosomal RNA". It matches the Rfam family "Bacterial small subunit ribosomal RNA", at positions 30 to 507 of the family's 1533-position model. The record is from RNAcentral.